AAUUACUCAACACAAAGCUGCUAUUAGAACAAUAACAAACUCUGGCCCCAGACAGCACUCGGUACCCUUACUCAAAUCAUUGAAUAUGUUAGAUAUUAAGUCGCUGGACACACAUCCUCUCAAGUGAAAACCUCUCAUGAUUUCCACCAUUUUUUUCCGUUUUUCAACUCAAUUUAUGUUUUGAUCUCAUUUAGUAUUAAGUUUAGUGUAAGUGUCCCACACCUUGCUGGAAACGCUACGCGUAUUAGUGGCUUUAGUAUGUACAAGCUCUAUCUAGAAAUCCGAUAAUAUGUUUGUAACUCAUCUCGUAUGUCUGUAUUUUUACGGGAAUAAACAUUUGAUUGGAAUAUUCUGAACAAUGUCAUCCUGGACGUUAAUAGUUAUUAUAAAGCAUAAAUGUUCACACUUCAAUAAGUUAAAGUCACUUAAUUUGUCAUUAACGAGCAAUAUCUUAAGUCAAUUGAAAGCAAAUAUUUGGCAUCAUCCAAUGUUGUGUCAGGAACUUUGGUUUGUUGGUUUGUUGGUCUGUUAUUACAUGUAUAUUGUAGUUGUUAAGCGGCCAUGUAGCUGUUAUUACAUAUAUUGUAUAUUGUAGCGGCCAUGUAGGUGUUAUUACAUAUAUUGUAGCGGCCAUGUAGAUGUUAUUACAUAUAUUGUAGCGGCCAUGUAGGUGUUAUUACAUAUAUUGUAGCGGCCAUGUAGAUGUUAUUACAUAUAUUGUAGCGGCCAUGUAGCUGUUAUUACAUAUAUUGUAGCGGCCAUGUAGGUGUUAUUACAUAUAUUGUAGCGGCCAUGUAGAUGUUAUUACAUAUAUUGUAGCGGCCAUGUAGCUGUUAUUACAUAUAUUGUAGCGGCCAUGUAGGUGUUAUUACAUAUAUUGUAGCGGCCAUGUAGGUGUUAUUACAUGUAUUGUAGCGGCCAUGUAGAUGUUAUUACAUAUAUUGUAGCGGCCAUGUAGGUGUUAUUACAUAUAUUGUAGCGGCCAUGUAGGUGUUAUUACAUAUAUUGUAGCGGCCAUGUAGAUGUUAUUACAUGUAUUGUAGCGGCCAUGUAGGUGUUAUUACAUAUAUUGUAGCGGCCAUGUAGAUGUUAUUACAUAUAUUGUAGUUGUUGAGCGGCCAUUAACAGUUCUUGACUGACAGACCAUUAUUACUUCACUGUAGAUUAUAUUACAAAUGUUGUUCUGUUGUUCCUGUUGUUCCUGUUGUUCUGUUGUUCUGUUGUUCCUGUUGUUCUGUUGCAACAUUUACAAUAGACUGUUGUAUUUGGUUUGUGAAAUAGAUUUUAUUGGUUCAUUAGGAACUUAUUCGUGUUUGGGGAAGUGAAGGAGUGGCUGUUGGCCAUUGUUAAUUGACACUUGAGACUCGCAAAAUGUUAACCAAUGAGGUGAGUUUUAGGGUGAAUGUCAACCAAUCAGCGGCCGAGUGUGGUUGGCUGCUGGUUAUAUAAGUGACGAUGAGACAUAAUGCACUUCAGUGUGUUUUACCUCACUUUUGGUGCACAGUUCCAGACUCGUCUCUUGAGAAUGUUGAUGGUUUAAAUACUGGUGUGGGUGUAGUCUGGGACCACUACAUCACACCAGACGGUUUACUGGUGUUCCUUCACUCAGGAGCAGAACCAGUUGUCUGCACUAGUUGUCUCUUCUCUCCGUACCAGAAGUCCUCCUUCAGGUACCGCGGUGUUCUUUGGUCCCUCAGCCCCAGCUUGGCUCAGCCUUAAAGACUACAGCAAACUCUACACUCCAUCCUGUGGAACACCUGGUAACAUGGUCAGCUGCAUGAUGUGUUUGCAGCGUUACUGGAGUUUGGCAGAAUUAUAACAUUGCGACAGAUCAUGUUGGACCUCUCCAGUCACCUCUGAAGAUGAACACAGGGAAGGUUGCCAACCGUCUCCGGUAAUUAAGACAAAUAUAAAAGGCAGAGACAAGAGGCACAACAGUGGCGUCUGCUGCUUGGUGAGAGGUGGACGUGCUGCUGCUGCUCCACACUUGGUUCUUGCACGUGGCUGUUGCUGCAGCUGGAUAUUGUCACUGUGCCACAGACUGCUGCAGCUGGAUAUUGUCACUGUGCCACACUGUUGCAGUGAAACGGUGCCUUUGAGAGGCGAGGAAAUGGCUAAGGCGGUCUCCCUAAGUGGUAUACAAUCCUACACUGGGCCAGAAGUAAGAGCGAAGAUGAGACAUGAUCCCAGGCUGUAUCUUGGUAAUAAACACAAACGGCCAAAUAUUCAGACCGGGACGUGACAGUGAAGAUUAAAUCCUGCCAAAUUAUCUUGCAGAGUUUUCUUUAGUUGUCAAUGUUCCAAACAUUUUGUUCAAAUAAAAGGGGUCAAUCAUUUUCUUGUGCCUAGGCUUUCAUUUGCCAGCAUGACAAUUGUCAGGUCAUGCCAGUAAUGGUAGCAUAUCUACAAUAGACAAUCUACAUGGAUCAGGGAUUGAGUAGGAUACUUUAUACUUUUAAGUCCUCAUCGCGAAGUAUUAAGGCUAGAUGCCAAAGUUACGGUUAGUGGAAAUAGAUCUAAUAAUUUCUGAAGGCCGUUUUCUCAUUCCGAAGUUUGUAUAUUUAUACUACCAUAAGAUUUAUUGCUAUAAAUGUUCAUACUAGUUUCAGACAUAUUUCAGACUAUACAUGUUAUUUUCACUUCGUUUUGGUUAGUAAAGAAUAAAACAAAUUUGGCUUGUUACUCUCAUAGUUAAAUAAAAGCCAAGCACCUGUCAAUAUCUAACAUACGCGGGUCACUUAGAAAAAGCCAUUUUCAUGAUUUGUCUAUUCUAAGAUUGGCUGGUAUUUAAUAGUGGGUUUCCAGAGGUCACAUUUAAAUUACACUAUUCCAUUUUCUAUACUAAUACCCAGUGAAAUAACAUUGCCUGCAAUAAAUUUUGUUUGCAUGCGCCCAAGUUGGAUGUAUGCAGAAGUGUUUGAAUUUUGAGUUUUUCUAUGCAAGGUAUUGUACUGGGAUAUGAUUUAAAUUAUAAAUUAAUACAAUCAUUUAAUUCGUUGUAUAGCGUUGACAUAAUUGCAUUAUUUAAUUAGCCCGGUUAUAUACAAAUAUCUAAAUCCUCAAAGGCAGUUAUAUACAUUAAAAGACUGAUGUUUGUCCCGUAUUGUUUAAUCACCUUGUCUUUGUGGUUUGUAUGUUACAGCACCACUUGAAAGAUAAAAUAAAAUGCUUUGGCAUAGUGAUUGAAA
This is a non-coding RNA of Procambarus clarkii (red swamp crayfish), 3188 nucleotides long. The record is from RefSeq and is a predicted model, not a curated record. NCBI's taxonomy places the organism in Eukaryota, Metazoa, Arthropoda, Malacostraca, Decapoda, Cambaridae.